Molecule: ribosomal RNA, 507 nt
Filed under: uncultured bacterium
Lineage: Bacteria
Description: bacterial SSU rRNA
Rfam family: Bacterial small subunit ribosomal RNA
Source: RNAcentral
AGAGUUUGAUCAUGGCUCAGGACGAACGCUAGCGGCGUGCCUAAUGUAUGCAAGUCGAGCGGGGAGAGGGGCAACCCUCUUCUAGCGGCGAACGGUUGAGUAACACGUAGACAACCUGCCUUUCGGUGGGGGAUAACAGCGGGAAACUGCUGCUAAUACCGCAUACGGCGGGAAGGGGCCUCCCUUCCUGGCCAAAGGGAAGCGUAAGCUUUUCGCCGGGAGAUGGGUCUGCGGCCUAUCAGCUUGUUGGUGGGGUAACGGCCUACCAAGGCGACGACGGGUAGCUGGUCUGAGAGGAUGAUCAGCCAGACGGGGACUGAGACACGGCCCCGACUCCUUCGGGAGGCAGCAAUGAGGGAUAUUGCGCAAUGGGGGAAACCCUGACGCAGCGACGCCGCGUGGGUGAGGAAGUCCUUCGGGAUGUAAAGCCCUUUUCUCGGGGACGAGACCCGACGGUACCCGAGGAAUAAGCACCGGCUAACUACGUGCCAGCAGCGGCGGUAAUUC